This is a long non-coding RNA of Engraulis encrasicolus (European anchovy), 1577 nucleotides long. RefSeq lists it as uncharacterized. The transcript has 4 exons. The record is from RefSeq and is a predicted model, not a curated record. Lineage: Eukaryota; Metazoa; Chordata; Actinopteri; Clupeiformes; Engraulidae.
AACCUCUGUUCGGAAUAGUCCGCACUGCAAGGCUAUUCAAAUUCGCAACGUGUAAUGACGAACUACUGUCUCCGAGGCGUAUGUAGAUAUUCGGCCGGCGUAAUAAUACUUUUCGCCUCGAGAGGUGCCACGGUUGAAGCGUCAUCAGAAGGAACGAAUCAGCUAACUGCUAUGUCAGCUGAGAUGAGGAGUAAACGGAAGUAGCAUGGCUACCGAAGGAGCUGGUCGAUCAUCUUGUAGUACCGAGGAAGACGAAAUCUCGACCGAAAAUGUAAAAAAAAAAGACAUCUUCGAAACGCAAGUUGUGUUACAUGCAUAUAUCUUCGGUCAAGCAUGAAGAAACACAGAAUUUCACCAAUAUACGGUGGAAUACAUAUCGAAAUUUUCGGCAGCGGCUAGAAUUGAAGGGUGAGUGCAGAGUAGCAGAACAUUUUAAGCAAUGUAUUGAGUUGGAGUUUGACGAAAUUCCCGAGGAUGCGGCUCUCCAUCCCACAUGCUACCGGAGGUUUAUUGACAAGCGGGAAAUUGAACGAGUCACACGGCGUGUCUUGCGAGAGGCAGAGAGGGGAGAUGGCCAACAAGACCCCCGAACUAGCCAGGCUACCUCCGCUUUAUCGGCUGUGACCACCACUCCGACCAGGAAACUGCGAUCCAGAUCAAGCUUGGCCAUCACGAGCUCUGGCCCCGUUCUUCCUUCUGUCUGCAUGAUUUGCAAGAAAGAUAGCAAAUUUAUCGUCGCGAGUGGCAGACGUCAAAGAGAACGAAAACACAGACUUUAACCGCAGGCAAGUUGCAGGAAGCAGCUGAAGUAAAGGAAGCCAAGAGCAUCCUCAUUCACAUCAAGGACAGAGACUGUGUGGCUCUGGAGGUGCAGUACCACAGAAGUUGCUACAGAGAGUACACAAGGUUUUUGAGUGAGCCUGUCAGAGCAGAGAAAGAACAGAUUGGGCCAACAUUUGAUCUGAGCUACAAGUUAUUCUGCGAGAGGGUAAUCCGCUAAAGGCUACUGAUCAACCAAGAGGUGCUGAGGAUGAGCCAACUGAGGAAGGCCUUUAUUGCCCUUGUGCAGUCAAGUGAAGGUGUUGAUGCUUCAACCUACAGACAGGAUAUAUUGAAGAAGAGGCUCAGUCGUGAUUUUCCUCAGCUAAUGUUCCACACCCCCGCCAAACGCAACACAUCUGAACUGGUUUUUGCUGAGAACUUGUCGACGAAUGCAGUCUUGGACUUGUUACCAUCAGGUGCGGAGACGACUCAGUCCAGCGAAAUGAGCCAGACAGACAGCGACACAGAAAGGAGGAAGUCAAAGCAACCAACCACAGCAGAGGAGACACGGACACUUUACACAGCAGCUUUGCUUUUGAAGAGGCUGCUUAGUCACAGUCCUGGCAUGUCAUGCCCAUGGCCCCCAACUGCAGUAAACUUCAAUCUCACUGAAGUCAUUUGCUGUGGCAUGCGCAAAAGAUGUGUACCUGGAUGCUUUCACACAGUUCAUGAAAAUGCCGGUUCAUGUGUAUGCCACUUGUUUUGAUUUUUUUAUCUGUUGUAUAGUUAUUAGUGAAUAAAUGAAUACAUGAAUA